RNAcentral lists this unclassified non-coding RNA (211 nucleotides) under plant metagenome. RNAcentral describes it as "partial contains small subunit ribosomal RNA, internal transcribed spacer 1, and 5.8S ribosomal RNA". The record is from RNAcentral.
UUUCCGUAGGUGAACCUGCGGAAGGAUCAUUCAUAAUAAAGUGUUUUAUGGCACUUUUUAAAAAUCCAUAUCCACCUUGUGUGCAAUGUUAGAUCUCGUCAAUCUUGGCGAGGUUUUUAUACAUCAACUCAUUCUUUAACUAAUUUGUCUGAAAUAUAUUAUGAAUACUUAAUUCAAAAUACAACUUUCAACAACGGAUCUCUUGGCUCUC